UUCUUCUUCUUCUUCUUCUUUCGUCCAAGAUUGAGAAGUGAUAUCAGUAGACAAAUAGGAUGGCUGGAUCCAACCAGCACUCAUCAAUAAGAAAGCAGCAGCAUAGGGCAGCAACGGAACAUCUUCUAGUGAGUGGAGAAAUCAUAACAAAAACCAUACUUAUUGGACUAACGAAGAUGGAGAUAUCUGCACUGGUGUUGGCUUGUGGUUUGUGGGUCGGAGCUGACGGAACAUAUCGUAAGUGCAAGAUUUGAUCUUGUAUGGGCUAUCCAUUGGCAUUGCAUUUCGUGAAGUGCUUCACAGUUCUGUCUUCGGGACUUUGUGUGGUUUGCCAUGUCAAUUUCUCGUUCUGCUUUGACAUAAACACUUUCAAGCCUGAAAUUUUGAUUGCAGCUUCCGAGCAGAUCAAGUGUGUUCAAAGGCAGCAAAUACUUCAAGAUCGAUCACUGAUAUCAGCCGACAGAUAGGAUGGCUGGAUCCAAGCAGCAAUCAUCAGUAAGAAACCAGCAGCAAGGGCAGCAAGGCUGCAAAACAAAGCUUUCUAAUUAGUGGAGAAAUCAUCACAAAAACCAUAAGAAGACAUACAUAGGGAGGCUACUGCCACCACAACCACCCACCUUCACGACAAACUGUUGUUGUGGGAUUAGACGCAGGAAAUCUAAUUGCUGGAGCUACGCAUGGGGAAGAUGUCUAAUGGUGCAGUGCUCCAAGGGAUGUGCAUACCUGUGCAACUGAUGUUGUAGAGAUUGGCAUUGAUGGUGGCCUCCUCUGUACAGACUUGCUCUAACUUCCAAACCAAUAUAUUGUAUCGAAAUGUCAACAGAGACAAUCGAACUAUGGUUUGCUUGAGCAUCGAGAGAAUAGAUACUAGUUUUUUUUAACUGAAUCUUUAAUUUGGUGGUGUUGUAUAGUUAUUGCCAAUUUGCCAGUGGUGUGUAGAUAUUGUUAAAUAUAUGAUCAGUGAGUGAGUUAGCACCAGUGGUGUGUAGAUGUUGCUAAAUAUAUGAUCAGUGAGUGAAUUAGCAGUGUCAUGGUUUGUGUGUACCACAGGAA
This is a long non-coding RNA of Musa acuminata subsp. malaccensis (wild Malaysian banana), 1053 nucleotides long. RefSeq lists it as uncharacterized. Lineage: Eukaryota; Viridiplantae; Streptophyta; Magnoliopsida; Zingiberales; Musaceae. The record is from RefSeq and is a predicted model, not a curated record.